UGGCAAACCACUCCAGUAUCUCUGCCAUGAAAACUCCACAUGGGGUCAUGAAGAGUCAGACACGACUGAAACAACCCAAGGACAACGACAAUAAAGACGCCUCCCAACUGCUAGCUGCCCUUCAGAAGGAGCCUGGGAACGGAGGAGACCGGAAGUUACACAACAAGCAUUUAUCAGACAUCCCGUGGGUGCCAGGACCUGUGCUAGGAAGCAAGUUUACAAAGACAACCACAAGGUUUCUACCCAAAAGCAGCUCGUAUUCCAUCCAGAGAAACAACGUAUAAAACCAUAAGGAGAUACAUAAUAUUGCCAUCAAGCCAAGUCCAGGCUGUGGAAGGCUUCUCAGGCCAGUCCAGAUAGCCGCACUCCAGACUACAGAAUGCUCACCGCGAGGCUUGCUGUGGAAGUACACGGCCAGUAGUGCAGCGGUCGGCGUUCUGGGCAGAGAAAGAUCUCUGCAAAACGUCCAACAAUUGGGGCAAAGGAGCUUGAAAUGGAGCUCAAAACCACAUCCCGCUCCGCCCCUUCUGUCAGAGCCUCAGGGCUACAAACUACAGAAAUCUACACCACAGCACCAGCGUGGCAGCUCUCUGAACUCUGAACAGGAGUGGGGCAGACACGGUGUUGGUGGUCCCCCCACCCCCACCCUCUGCAGGCACUCCACUAAGCCUGAGGGAAAGUGUUCAGCAACUAACUGGGGCCAGUUCGGAUCACCCAAAAGUCACUUGGGUGCAAGACCUAGGCUAGUUUACAUGAAUUGCCCAGUGUGAGAGAAGGCUGAGAUGCUUUGAGAUUCAUCCCCCGAGAAAAUCACCAUCAGAGCGGA
This is a long non-coding RNA of Phascolarctos cinereus (koala), 826 nucleotides long. RefSeq lists it as uncharacterized. Lineage: Eukaryota; Metazoa; Chordata; Mammalia; Diprotodontia; Phascolarctidae. The record is from RefSeq and is a predicted model, not a curated record.